RNAcentral lists this ribosomal RNA (337 nucleotides) under uncultured bacterium. Its description in RNAcentral is "bacterial SSU rRNA". It matches the Rfam family "Bacterial small subunit ribosomal RNA", at positions 568 to 898 of the family's 1533-position model. The record is from RNAcentral.
CGCGUAGGCGGCUUGGUAAGGGGACGGUGAAAGCCCGGGGCUCAACCCCGGGUCGUGCCGCACCGACUGCCGAGCUCGAGCACACUAGGGGCGAGGUGGAAUUCCGGGUGGUAGCGGUGGAAUGCGUAGAGAUCCGGAAGAACACCGGUGGCGAAGGCGGCCUGCCGGGGUGGUGGCUGACGCUGAGGCGCGACAGCGUGGGGAGCAAACAGGAUUAGAUACCCUGGUAGUCCACGCCGUAAACGAUGGGCACUAGGUGCUCGGGGGAGGCGACCCUUCGGGUGCCGGCGCUAACGCAUUAAGUGCCCCGCCUGGGGAGUACGGCCGCAAGGCUGAA